This 253-nucleotide ribosomal RNA is filed under the name uncultured bacterium. Its description in RNAcentral is "partial 16S ribosomal RNA". It matches the Rfam family "Bacterial small subunit ribosomal RNA", at positions 524 to 776 of the family's 1533-position model. The record is from RNAcentral.
GACAGAGGUGCCAAGCGUUAGGCGGAAUCACUGGGCUUAAAGCGUGUGUAGGCGGGCGAUCAAGUCCCUUGUGAAAUCCCACGGCUCAACCGUGGAACUGCUGGGUAUACUGCGUCGCUUGAGCCGUCUAGGGGCGACCGGAACAAACGGUGGAGCGGUGAAAUGCGUAGAUAUCAGGAGGAACACCUGUGGCGAAAGCGGCUCACUGGACCAUAACUGACGCUGAUGCACGAAAGCUAGGGGAGCAAACAGG